GUUUAGCGUUUAAAACCCUAAUGCUGAUUAAAGUGAAAAAGUUCAGUUUAGGGUUUAAAACCCUAAUGCUGACUAAAGGAAAAGUUCAGUUUAGGGUUUAAAACCCUAAUGCUGACUAAAGGGAAAAUUCAGUUUAGGGUUUAAAACCCUAAUGCUGACUGUAUGGAAAAGCUCAGUUUAGGGUUUAAAACCCUAAUGCUGGCUGAAUGGAAAAGAGUUCAGUUUAGGGUUUAAAACCCUGAUGCUGACUAAAUGGAAAAGUUUAGUUUAGGGUUUAAAACCCUAAUGCUGACUGAAAGGGAAAAGUUCAGUUUAGGGUUUAAAACCCUAAUGCUAACUGGUUGGGGGGUAAAGUUCGAGAAUGCUAGCUAGCCUCUUUUUUUUUGGAUUUUCUUGUUUUAGUAGCAGAUAAAAAGGGAGUCUC
Molecule: long non-coding RNA, 424 nt
Filed under: Nicotiana tabacum (common tobacco)
Lineage: Eukaryota; Viridiplantae; Streptophyta; Magnoliopsida; Solanales; Solanaceae
Description: long non-coding RNA (NTAB_LNC008119)
Source: RNAcentral